ACCUACGGGAGGCAGCAGUGGGGAAUAUUGCGCAAUGGGGGAAACCCUGAUGCAGCAACGCCGCGUGAAGGAAGACGGUUUUCGGAUUGUAAACUUCUGUUCUUAGUGAAGAAGAAUGACGGUAGCUAAGGAGCAAGCCACGGCUAACUACGUGCCAGCAGCCGCGGUAAUACGUAGGUGGCAAGCGUUGUCCGGAAUUACUGGGUGUAAAGGGAGCGUAGACGGCUGUGCAAGUCUGAAGUGAAAUGCCGGGGCCCAACCCCGGAACUGCUUUGGAAACUGGACAGCUAGAGUGCAGGAGGGGG
RNAcentral lists this ribosomal RNA (305 nucleotides) under uncultured bacterium. RNAcentral describes it as "bacterial SSU rRNA". It matches the Rfam family "Bacterial small subunit ribosomal RNA", at positions 337 to 658 of the family's 1533-position model. The record is from RNAcentral.